Molecule: long non-coding RNA, 843 nt
Filed under: Physcomitrium patens
Lineage: Eukaryota; Viridiplantae; Streptophyta; Bryopsida; Funariales; Funariaceae
Description: long non-coding RNA (PPAT_LNC013777)
Source: RNAcentral
AUUAUGUUUUGGAGAAUUUCAUAAGUUUGAUAGUAGAUCUAUGAUUCAAAUUUUAAAGACUUAUAAGAAUAGUUUUUUGAAAUGUGUGUUAUAAUUUUGAGCUUAAUCGAAUGGUUGAAAUGAAGGUUAUUGAAUUUUAAGUAGAUUAAGGUCUUAGAAAUUAGACUUUGAGAGGCAGUUAGAGUUUAUAAGAUCUUUAGUAAUUCAUUAGUUGGAUUGGAAAGAAAUUUAUAUAUAAAAAUAAUAGACUUGAUUUUCUACACAUUUGUGAAAUUUAAAAACAAUUAAAUAGUUUGAAAAAGAAAUAUUAGUGCUAGAAGUUCAACAUUCAGAUUGGAGUAAGAUACCAACCAAUACCUAAGUAGAUUUUAGGAUUUUUUUUCAUUUGGGUAAGUGCAAUUAUCUUCAAAUUUAUUAUAUAGUUUUUUAAUUAAGAGAUUGAGAGGUAUUUAAAUUUUUAAUCAAGAUCAAUGAUUUAAUCAAUAGAUAUUAGGAUUCUAAUCUGUCUUAUGAUUUGAUUUAAGAUUUAGGAUUUUUUUAGGAUUUGGUUUAAGGUUUAGGAUUUUUGUAGGAUUUGUUUUAGGAUUUAAGAUUUUUUUAAGAUUUGAUUUAGGAUUUAGGAUUUGAUUUAGGAUUUAAGAUUUUUUUAGGAUUUUUUUAGGAUUUGAUAUAUGAUUUAGGAUUUAGGAUUUGAUUUAGAAUUUAAGAUUUUUUUAGGAUUUAUUUAGGAUUUGAUUUAAGAUUUAGAAUAUACGUAGGAUUUAAGGAUUAUUGAUUAAAGAUUAUUGAUGAAGGAUUAUUUGGAUGCACAUAGAGUUAUAGCAAUAAAAGCUGAAAGUUAUG